RNAcentral lists this ribosomal RNA (359 nucleotides) under uncultured Streptococcus sp. RNAcentral describes it as "bacterial SSU rRNA". It matches the Rfam family "Bacterial small subunit ribosomal RNA", at positions 1021 to 1382 of the family's 1533-position model. Lineage: Bacteria; Bacillati; Bacillota; Bacilli; Lactobacillales; Streptococcaceae. The record is from RNAcentral.
CGGUACAUCGGUGACAGGUGGUGCAUGGUUGUCGUCAGCUCGUGUCGUGAGAUGUUGGGUUAAGUCCCGCAACGAGCGCAACCCUAUUGUUAGUUGCCAUCAUUCAGUUGGGCACUCUAGCGAGAUUGCCGGUAAUAAACCGGAGGAAGGUGGGGAUGACGUCAAAUCAUCAUGCCCCUUAUGACCUGGGCUACACACGUGCUACAAUGGUUGGUACAACGAGUUGCGAGUCGGUGACGGCGAGCUAAUCUCUUAAAGCCAAUCUCAGUUCGGAUUGUAGGCUGCAACUCGCCUACAUGAAGUCGGAAUCGCUAGUAAUCGCGGAUCAGCACGCCGCGGUGAAUACGUUCCCGGGCCUU